This 85-nucleotide transfer RNA is filed under the name uncultured archaeon. RNAcentral's name for it is "tRNA-Ser(gga)". It matches the Rfam family "tRNA". Rfam says of the family: Transfer RNA (tRNA) molecules are approximately 80 nucleotides in length. Their secondary structure includes four short double-helical elements and three loops (D, anti-codon, and T loops). The record is from RNAcentral.
GCCGAGGUCGUCUAGCGGUAUGGCGCCAGCCUGGAAAGCUGGUGACUCGCAAGGGUCUCGUGAGUUCGAAUCUCACCCUCGGCGC